This 136-nucleotide microRNA precursor is filed under the name Hordeum vulgare. RNAcentral's name for it is "microRNA MIR1122". It matches the Rfam family "MIR1120/MIR1122 microRNA precursor family". The record is from RNAcentral. Lineage: Eukaryota; Viridiplantae; Streptophyta; Magnoliopsida; Poales; Poaceae.
GUUAUACUCCCUCCGUCUCAAAAUUCUUGUCUUAUAUUUUUCUAGAUAUGAAUGUACCUAGUCACGUUUUAAUAUUUUGAUACAUCCAUUUUUAGACAAAUCUAAGACAAUUUUUUUUAGACGGAGGGAGUACCUU